This is a non-coding RNA of Aedes albopictus (Asian tiger mosquito), 74 nucleotides long. Lineage: Eukaryota; Metazoa; Arthropoda; Insecta; Diptera; Culicidae. The record is from Rfam.
UGUUCUGUGGCUUAGUUGGUUAAAGCACCGGUCUAGCGAAUACGGGUUCGUGCGUUCGAAUUCCACCAGAACGC